AAGGUAGCGAAAUUCCUUGUCGGGUAAGUUCCGACCCGCACGAAAGGCGUAACGAUUUGGGCACUGUCUCAACGAGAGACUCGGUGAAAUCAUAGUACCUGUGAAGAUGCAGGUUACCCGCGACAGGACGGAAAGACCCCGUGGAGCUUUACUGUAGCCUGAUAUUGAAAUUCGGCACAGCUUGUACAGGAUAGGUAGGAGCCUUUGAAACGUGAGCGCUAGCUUACGUGGAGGCGCUGGUGGGAUACUACCCUAGCUGUGUUGGCUUUCUAACCCGCACCACUUAUCGUGGUGGGAGACAGUGUCAGGCGGGCAGUUUGACUGGGGCGGUCGCCUCCUAAAAGGUAACGGAGGCGCUCAAAGGUUCCCUCAGAAUGGUUGGAAAUCAUUCAUAGAGUGUAAAGGCAUAAGGGAGCUUGACUGCGAGACCUACAAGUCGAGCAGGGUCGAAAGACGGACUUAGUGAUCCGGUGGUUCCGCAUGGAAGGGCCAUCGCUCAACGGAUAAAAGCUACCCCGGGGAUAACAGGCUUAUCUCCCCCAAGAGUUCACAUCGACGGGGAGGUUUGGCACCUCGAUGUCGGCUCAUCGCAUCCUGGGGCUGUAGUCGGUCCCAAGGGUUGGGCUGUUCGCCCAUUAAAGCGGUACGCGAGCUGGGUUCAGAACGUCGUGAGACAGUUCGGUCCCUAUCCGUCGUGGGCGUAGGAAAUUUGAGAGGAGCUGUCCUUAGUACGAGAGGACCGGGAUGGACAUACCUCUGGUGUACCAGUUGUCGUGCCAACGGCAUAGCUGGGUAGCUAUGUGUGGACGGGAUAAGUGCUGAAAGCAUCUAAGCAUGAAGCCCCCCUCAAGAUGAGAUUUCCCAACUUCGGUUAUAAGAUCCCUCAAAGAUGAUGAGGUUAAUAGGUUCGAGGUGGAAGCAUGGUGACAUGUGGAGCUGACGAAUACUAAUCGAUCGAAGACUUAAUCAA
RNAcentral lists this ribosomal RNA (970 nucleotides) under Staphylococcus aureus. Its description in RNAcentral is "partial 23S ribosomal RNA". It matches the Rfam family "Bacterial large subunit ribosomal RNA", at positions 1953 to 2925 of the family's 2925-position model. Lineage: Bacteria; Bacillati; Bacillota; Bacilli; Caryophanales; Staphylococcaceae. The record is from RNAcentral.